Rhincodon typus (whale shark) is the source of this 1044-nucleotide long non-coding RNA. RefSeq lists it as uncharacterized. Lineage: Eukaryota; Metazoa; Chordata; Chondrichthyes; Orectolobiformes; Rhincodontidae. The transcript is spliced from 2 exons. The record is from RefSeq and is a predicted model, not a curated record.
CUCCACGGGAUGAGCGGCCGGAGUCACAGUCGUUUCUUUUCCUCUGGUUCCUGUUAUCCUAGUGCAAUUCUGGUGCCACGUAUUCAGGGUGAUUGGGGGUGGGCAUUAGGAGAAGGAGGAGGCGGUGGUAGCUUCCGCACUCGCGGAGCGGAGCCCACUAGAGAUUCGCUCGUGGCGGAAUUUGAGCCGCUCCCAAGAGCUUGAUCCUGAGCCAAUGACCGAACAGUGACGAUCAAAUGAAAAAAUUGAAUGUUUAACACUGGAUAAACAGUAUAAAUCAAGAAGAGAACUGAAACAACCAUCUAGUUUCUGAAAGUCAAGUAAAAAGAACGUUGUGAAUCUUAUUGUUUUCUUUACAACAAUCAAAAUGAGGCAGCUGAAAGGAAAACCAAGAAAAGAAACUUCAAAAGACAAAAAGGAAAGAAGGCAAGCCAUGCAAGAGGCUCGCAGUCAGAUUACCACCAUAGUGUUUCCCACAUUAGCUGUAGUUGUCCUGUUAAUUGUUUUGUUUGUUUACGUGGCCACGCGACCAACCAUUGCGUGAAAGAAAUAUUACAGAGCAUUUUAUGAAGAAAUUUCAUCUCCACUGUAAUUGAUUAAAAUUGAGUAAAUCCAUCCAGGAUUAAACGCCUCUCAAUUAUGGAAACAUCUGUCCAAAUUUAAUUCCAUGUUUUCUGGUCUUAACGUGUUUUUAAGAGUAUUGUUACCCAGUGGUAUAGUAUACACAUGCUCAUUUCUCUUGUAUGUGCCUUUGAAGCAUUUGCUGGGACAUUUUUGUUUGCCCUUUAAAAGAAUUUGGAAGCAUUUCUUGUAUCCUGUGCAGAAAUUAAGUGUAACUUAACUAAUGCUGUAAUUCAAAAAAAUUGUCUGAGGCCAUUUUGUUGCAUUGUCUGUACAGUAGUCUUGUUUUAAACACAUUUUUAGGAUGAACUUCACCACUCUUGCCAAAGGAUAAUCCAUUCUUGUUUUGGAUGCAUAUCACUUGAAAUACAAUGAUUAUAAAUUGUAAAUGUUUAUUUUUAGAAUAAAAUCAAAAUGUUCAUA